Molecule: ribosomal RNA, 253 nt
Filed under: uncultured bacterium
Lineage: Bacteria
Description: partial 16S ribosomal RNA
Rfam family: Bacterial small subunit ribosomal RNA
Source: RNAcentral
UACAGAGGGUGCGAGCGUUAAUCGGAAUUACUGGGCGUAAAGGGUGCGUAAGCGGUUACAUAAGUUAGGUGUGAAAGUCCCGGGCUUAACCUGGGGAUUGUGCCUGAUACUGUGUGGCUAGAGUGCUGUAGAGGAAAGUGGAAUUUCCGGUGUAGCGGUGAAAUGCGUAGAUAUCGGAAGGAACAUCGGUGGCGAAGGCGACUUUCUGGACAGACACUGACACUGAGGCACGAAAGCAUGGGGAGCAAACAGG